RNAcentral lists this ribosomal RNA (702 nucleotides) under uncultured bacterium. RNAcentral describes it as "bacterial SSU rRNA". It matches the Rfam family "Bacterial small subunit ribosomal RNA", at positions 98 to 817 of the family's 1533-position model. The record is from RNAcentral.
GCGAAAGGGGCAGUAAGGCGUGGGUAACCUACCCCGGGGACGGGCAUAGCCGUCCUAACGGACGGGUAAUUCCCGGCGAUUCGACGUGGCGGCAUCGCCGUGUCGGGAAAUGAAUUUCGCCUCGGGAGGGGCUCACGUGAUAUUAGCUUGUUGGCGGGGUAACGGCCCACCAAGGCGAAGAUGUCUAGCGGGUGUGAGAGCACGACCCGCGCCACUGGCACUGAGACACUGGCCAGACACCUACGGGUGGCUGCAGUCGAGGAUCUUCGGCAAUGGGCGCAAGCCUGACCGAGCGACGCCGCGUGUGCGAUGAAGGCCUUCGGGUUGUAAAGCACUGUCGAGGGGGAGGAAGCCGCAAGGUUGACCUAUCCCUGGAGGAAGCACGGGCUAAGUUCGUGCCAGCAGCCGCGGUAAGACGAACCGUGCGAACGUUGUUCGGAAUCACUGGGCUUAAAGGGCGCGUAGGCGGCGGAUCAAGUCCGGGGGUGAAAGCCCCCAGCUCACCUGGGGAAGUGCCUUGGAUACUGAUUCGCUCGAGGGAGGUAGGGGUCGCGGGAACUUCCGGGGGGAGCGGUGAAAUGCGUUGAUAUCGGAAGAACGCCGGUGGCGAAAGCGCGCGACUGGACCUCUUCUGACGCUGAGCGCGAAGCCAGGGGAGCGACGGGAUAGAUACCCCGGUAGUCUGGCCUAACGAUGAGACUA